This is a long non-coding RNA of Cephus cinctus (wheat stem sawfly), 1340 nucleotides long. RefSeq lists it as uncharacterized. The transcript is spliced from 3 exons. The record is from RefSeq and is a predicted model, not a curated record. NCBI's taxonomy places the organism in Eukaryota, Metazoa, Arthropoda, Insecta, Hymenoptera, Cephidae.
CAGAUCUACGUUUAUUAACCUGAAUUAUAUUUUUCGAAUAUUUAUUUCUAAUUUUCUGCACACAUGUGGGAGAAUAACUGAGACGAAUAAACAUAAAUUAAAAAACAAUUUAUUAAAUCAGUACCAUUUCUUAACAACAUUUGGCUACCAUUGCUUAUACGUACUGAAUGUGUAACGACCCAACCAUACGUUUGAAAAACAUAUGAAAAAGUCAGAAUGUUUUUCGUGGUUGACUUUAAAGGUAUGAAAAGUAAUCCUGCACUCCAGGUGAAAUUAAAUGUAGCAAACGAGAUAAUUCGGCUGUUGUAGACGAAUAUUUAACUUGAACAAGAUAAUACGUCAUGAAAUACCACGAUGUUCCGUGACUACCAAGAUUUUCACGAUAAUUUUUGACGAAAAAUUCUCUCCGUGCAUAAAUGGAAAAUGGUUCAUCCGAGGUUGGCGAGCAUGAUUGCUCUUCGAUGUGGCUUCAAAGUUGACCUUAAGGGCAAAUGGCCAACGUGACGUCAACGAGCAGUUUAACCGGAAGGAUAAUGUACCGAGUACAGUUAAUUAGCACGGGCAGUCUAUAAUAAAAAAAUUCAAAAUUCGACUUAAAAAGAGUGUAUAUACAUCUCAGUGCUCAAAACUCUUGAAGAACCCUGAAGAGACCCUGAAUCUCAAGAAAUCUGAAAUUCCAGUAAACGGUACAGCAUCCCUUUGACAUUUGGUUAGCGUUCAAAAGUAUCCCUCAAGAAUUCUAAUUCCAACGAAAAUAUUUCCGAGCCGAGGGAGAAAUAUUUUGGAAUUACGUACAAUUUUAUAAAACAUAACAAUGCCGCGCAGGCACUAGGAAAAUGAAAUUUUAACGAACCAACACAGUGGAUGAUAAAGUGGGUGGCGUACAAUUUCCAAGUCACAAAUAAUUGCGAGUGUGAAUAUCGUGAGGACGGAAGGCACAGCAACCCUCGAUUAUUCAAAAUGGCUCCGCAACACUAUAUACCACUAUAUACAACAAGCAGAGCGUAAGGGUGAAAGUGGGUGGAGUAAGCGAGACAAACAGUUUCUGUUUCACGUACGUGCAGCCUCGCUAAAGCGCUCAAUUCCGCAAGGGUAACAACGGGCUAGUGGGAUCAGAGCUAGAAGGGUGAUCCCGAGUAGCACGGGUCUUUCCGGCGGCUUUAAGGGCGGGUUACCUCAAUGUGGACAUAAGGGUGCCGUUACAUGGGCGCCUUUCCGGCGAAAUGAGGCAAAUCAACCAUCCGAUAAAGCCAGACAGCUCGCGCACGCUUAACGAGCACGAUGAUCAAGUGAGAAAAUGAGUAAAGGCAUUGAAAUUCUCAUUGUUCAACAAAAAUAAA